RNAcentral lists this ribosomal RNA (468 nucleotides) under uncultured bacterium. RNAcentral's name for it is "partial 16S ribosomal RNA". It matches the Rfam family "Bacterial small subunit ribosomal RNA", at positions 28 to 507 of the family's 1533-position model. The record is from RNAcentral.
GACGAACGCUGGCGGCGUGCUUAACACAUGCAAGUCGAACGGAAAGGCCCUGCUUUUGUGGGGUGCUCGAGUGGCGAACGUGUGAGUAACACGUGAGUAACCUGCCCUUGACUUUGGGAUAACUUCAGGAAACUGGGGCUAAUACCGGAUAGGAGCUCCUGCUGCAUGGUGGGGGUUGGAAAGUUUCGGCGGUUGGGGAUGGACUCGCGGCUUAUCAGCUUGUUGGUAGGGUAGUGGCUUACCAAGGCUUUGACGGGUAGCCGGCCUGAGAGGGUGACCGGCCACAUUGGGACUGAGAUACGGCCCAGACUCCUACGGGAGGCAGCAGUGGGGAAUAUUGCACAAUGGGCGGAAGCCUGAUGCAGCAACGCCGCGUGCGGGAUGACGGCCUUCGGGUUGUAAACCGCUUUCGCCUGUGACGAAGCGUGAGUGACGGUAAUGGGUAAAGAAGCACCGGCUAACUACGUG